Molecule: small RNA, 2202 nt
Filed under: Pongo abelii (Sumatran orangutan)
Lineage: Eukaryota; Metazoa; Chordata; Mammalia; Primates; Hominidae
Description: retained intron
Source: RNAcentral
AGUUGGCAGGCUGCUGCGGGAGGCGGUGGCGGUAGGAAGCCGGAGACAGCAGGGUGACAGAAUUGGAAAAUAUUUAACUCUUAACAAAUGAAUUCCCCACUUGAACUCUGCCGAAUUCCUGUGCCACCUCCUCCUUUAGAAAACUGAUCUUAAUACAGAGAUAAAAGAGGAGUAGAAGGUAAAAGAAAAUGCUGGGAACUGACCGUUGUGUUGUGGAAGAAUGGUUAUCAGAAUUCAAGGCAUUACCUGACACUCAGAUCACCAGUUAUGCAGCAACUUUACACCGGAAAAAAACACUUGUACCAGCCCUCUAUAAAGUUAUUCAAGAUUCAAAUAAUGAGCUCCUGGAGCCUGUCUGCCAUCAGCUGUUUGAGCUCUAUCGUAGCUCAGAGGUUCGACUUAAGAGGUUCACACUGCAGUUCUUGCCAGAAUUGAUGUGGGUUUAUUUACGGCUUACAGUUAGCCGAGACAGACAGAGUAAUGGUUGCAUUGAAGCACUUCUGUUAGGAAUUUACAAUUUGGAAAUCGCUGAUAAAGAUGGGAACAAUAAAGUUCUGUCUUUCACUAUCCCCUCCUUAUCCAAGCCUUCAAUAUACCAUGAACCUUCAACAAUUGGAUCCAUGGCUUUGACAGAAGGGGCGUUGUGUCAGCAUGAUCUAAUCAGAGUUGUUUAUAGUGAUCUUCAUCCUCAGAGGGAAACGUUCACUGCACAGAACCGGUUUGAAGUCCUGAGUUUUCUCAUGCUGUGUUAUAAUUCUGCUAUUGUAUAUAUGCCUGCCUCAUCUUACCAAUCUCUUUGUCGGAUGGGUUCCAGGUGAGAAGAGUGAUUAUUACUAAUCUUCAUAUUUAUUUGACAGAUAUUUAUUGAGCACAUUCUCUAAGCCAGGCACUGUUCUAACUUCUGGUAUUACAGCAGUAAACAAAACUCAUGGAGCUUGCAUUCCUGUAGGAGUCCUUAUCCUCAUGAGGCUGUUUUUGUUGUUGUUGUUGUUGUUAUGAGAUAGGAUUUCUCUCUGUCACCCAGGCUGGAGUACAGUGGCUCAAUCAUAGCUCACUGUGCUCUCAGCCUUCUUGGCUCAAGGCAUCCUCCCGCCUGGGCCUCCCAAGUAGCUGGGACCACAGGUGUACACCACGACUCUCAGCUAAUUUUUGCAGAGACAGGGUCUUGCUAUGUUGCCCAGGUUUGUCUUGAAGUUCUGGCCUCAAGCAUUCUUGCCACAUCAGCCUUCCAAAGUGCUGCGAGUACAGGUGUGAGCCACCAUGCCUGUCCUCGUGCAUUCUUGAAAAUGCUUUCAGCGUUAAAGAAAUAUUUUCUAGCUGAACGUAGAGUUGUACCAAGACAUCCAAAUCUAGGGUUGUUUAGUGAUAUAUCUUAUUCCCUGGUUGCCAGUUUUUGUAAAUCACUUUGAGAUCUUUGAAAAAAAUAGUGCUGUAUAUGGGGAAAGUCUUAAGGAGUAUGAACCUCUUUCCAUUCAUUUCAUAAAUAACUGUCUCUGUCUUGGAGAAAGUGAUUAGCAAUAGUACCAAUGAUGUGUGUGUCUCAUUUGUAUGUGGGGGGUGGAUAUUCUGUAUCUCAUGGAUUAUAAUCUUUACUAAAUCAUAAUUUCUAAUAAUUUGGACAGACUUAGGCUUAAAUCUUGUUCUGUCACCUAGACUGGAGUGCAGUGGUGCCAUAUUGGCUCAUUCAACCUUUGCCUCUCAGGUUCAAGUGAUCUUCUCACCUCAGUCUUCUGAGUAGUUAGGACUACAGGUGCCCACCACCAUGCUGGGCUUUUUUUUUUUUUUUAAUAGAGACCGGGUUUCACAAUGUUGCACAGGCAGGUCACAAACUCCUGGGAUUAAGUGAUCUGCCUGCCCUGGCCUCCCAAAGUGCUAGGAUUACAGGCAUGAGCCACCGCACCUGGCCUUAAAUUUCUACUAUAGAAAAAACAUAGGCCAGGGUUAUUGGCCCAUGCCUGUAAUCCCAGCACGUUGGGAGGCUAAGGCCUGAGGUCAGGAGUUUGAGACCAGCCUGGCCAACAUGGUGAAACCCUGUCUCUAUACAAAAAUACAAAAAUUAGCUGGGUGGUAGUGCAUGCCUAUAAUCCCAGCUAUUUGGGAGGCUGACGCAUGUGGAUCACUUGAACCUGGGAGGCAGGGUUGCAGUGAUCCAAGAUCACGCCACUGCACCCCAGCCUGAGUGACAGAGUGAGACCUUGUCUC